UACGUAGGUGGCAAGCGUUGUCCGGAAUCACUGGGCGUAAAGGGCGCGUAGGCGGCGCGGGUAGUCAUCGGUGAAAGUUCAGGGCUCAACUCUGAAUCGGCCGGUGAUACUCCCGUGCUCGAGCACUGUAGAGGCAGGUGGAAUUCCGGGUGUAGCGGUGGAAUGCGUAGAGAUCCGGAAGAACACCGGUGGCGAAGGCGGCCUGCUGGGCAGUAGCUGACGCUGAUGCGCGACAGCGUGGGGAGCAAACAGG
This 253-nucleotide ribosomal RNA is filed under the name uncultured bacterium. RNAcentral's name for it is "partial 16S ribosomal RNA". It matches the Rfam family "Bacterial small subunit ribosomal RNA", at positions 524 to 776 of the family's 1533-position model. The record is from RNAcentral.